AUUGAACGCUGGCGGAAUGCUUUACACAUGCAAGUCGAGCGGCAGCGCGGGGCAACCUGGCGGCGAGCGGCGAACGGGUGAGUAACACAUCGGAACGUGCCCAGACGUGGGGGAUAGCCCGGCGAAAGCCGGAUUAAUACCGCAUGUGAUCUGAGGAUGAAAGUGGGGGACCGCAAGGCCUCACGCGUUUGGAGCGGCCGAUGGCAGAUUAGGUAGUUGGUGGGGUAAAGGCUUACCAAGCCUGCGAUCUGUAGCUGGUCUGAGAGGAUGAUCAGCCACACUGGGACUGAGACACGGCCCAGACUCCUACGGGAGGCAGCAGUGGGGAAUUUUGGACAAUGGGCGCAAGCCUGAUCCAGCCAUUCCGCGUGCAGGACGAAGGCCUUCGGUUGUAACUGCUUUUGUACGGUAACGAAAGGGCGUCUCUCUAAUACAGGGGGCAGUAUGACGGUACCGUAAGAAUAAAGCACCGGACGUAACUACCGUGCCAGCGAGACCC
RNAcentral lists this ribosomal RNA (499 nucleotides) under uncultured bacterium. Its description in RNAcentral is "bacterial SSU rRNA". It matches the Rfam family "Bacterial small subunit ribosomal RNA", at positions 29 to 518 of the family's 1533-position model. The record is from RNAcentral.